This 254-nucleotide ribosomal RNA is filed under the name uncultured Zavarzinella sp. Its description in RNAcentral is "partial 16S ribosomal RNA". It matches the Rfam family "Bacterial small subunit ribosomal RNA", at positions 524 to 776 of the family's 1533-position model. The record is from RNAcentral. Lineage: Bacteria; Pseudomonadati; Planctomycetota; Planctomycetia; Gemmatales; Gemmataceae.
GACGAACCGUGCAAACGUUGUUCGGAUUCACUGGGCUUAAAGGGCGCGUAGGCGGCUGAGCAAGUCUGUGGUGAAAUCUUUCGGCUCAACCGGAAAAUUGCCGUGGAUACUGCUCGGCUCGAGGGAGGUAGGGGUCGCGGGAACUGCCAGUGGAGCGGUGAAAUGCGUUGAUAUUGGCAGGAACGCCGGUGGCGAAAGCGCGCGACUGGACCUUUUCUGACGCUGAGUGCGCGAAAGCUAGGGGAGCAAACGGG